This 253-nucleotide ribosomal RNA is filed under the name uncultured bacterium. Its description in RNAcentral is "partial 16S ribosomal RNA". It matches the Rfam family "Bacterial small subunit ribosomal RNA", at positions 524 to 776 of the family's 1533-position model. The record is from RNAcentral.
UACGUAGGGUGCAAGCGUUAAUCGGAAUUACUGGGCGUAAAGCGUGCGCAGGCGGAUAUGUAAGUCAGUGGUGAAAUCUCCGGGCUUAACCCGGAAACUGCCGUUGAUACUAUAUAUCUUGAAUGCUGUGGAGGUAAGCAGAAUAUGUCAUGUAGCGGUGAAAUGCUUAGAGAUGACAUAGAAUACCUAUUGCGAAGGCAGCUUACUACGCAGAUAUUGACGCUCAUGCACGAAAGCGUGGGGAUCAAACAGG